Molecule: long non-coding RNA, 748 nt
Filed under: Citrus x clementina
Lineage: Eukaryota; Viridiplantae; Streptophyta; Magnoliopsida; Sapindales; Rutaceae
Description: Citrus clementina (C. clementina) long non-coding RNA (CCLE_LNC000831)
Source: RNAcentral
CAGUGAGCAACUAUAAAUAUAGUGAAGUGAUUUGCAUGUGUGGUAAAGAGGCAGAAGAAAGAUAGUGAAGAUAAGAUUAUAAGUGCUAUAAGCUAAGGCCUCUCGAGCUCAGAACCCACAGCAAGAAGAAGCAAAGAGGAAAAUGGCCUCAGCCUCGGCAUCUUUACUCAAGUCAUCAUCCCCCGUUCUUGACAAGUCUGAGUGGGUUAAGGGCCAGGCCAUCCGCCAGUCUACUGUCUCAGUCCGCAGCCUCCCCAGUGGCCCCUCUUCCCUCACCAUCCGUGCUGGUUCCUAUGCCGAUGAGCUUGUCAAGACCGCGGUAUGUUUCAAUGUUUUACAUCAUUUUACAAGCUUGCAUGCCUUUAAAUAGAGUACCCUUAUGAUAAAAUAUAGGACAGUUGUUGGAAAGUUUAAGUUGUUUGUAUAGUUUGAUUGAUACCUAGAUGAAACCAUGAAUGAGUAUGUUGUACUUUUAUGACAAAACUUAAAUAAACUACUGCAAGUUUUAUACGAUAAGGUUGUUUGAGAGUUGUUGCAAUAAAAAGUAGCUUUGCACUUUUGCCGACAGACUAUCUUGAAAUAUAGUAAAAGUUGUAAAAGACCUUUGCAUGCAACCCUAUAGCUUGUAUCAAGAUGUAAAAUGUAGAUUAAAGUUGCAAAGAAUGAAAGAAGAUCAUUGUUCUUGGCUGCCAAUUAGUUGUCUUGUUAUAGCUACAUGAAAUAUUAAUUAAGUUAAUUUUGUUGGGCG